ACAAAGCUUCCGUGGGUGAACCUGCGGAAGGAUCAUUACCGAUUGCUUCGCAGAGGUUUCCGCAUGUUUGACCGUCCGAGGAGGGAUACGUUCAGCUCUCCCCCCUCGGAAAAGUAAAUGAAAUCCCAAGCCGAGAGUCUCCUGCCCUGGGAGCCUGGCCUCCCCGCCCCGGUGGCUAGGCAGGCAUCUCGCGAGUGAGUAUCCCGAAUCUCGCGUGAAUCCGGCGUAAGACUGGGACGUCCCGUAAGUGCCCCUGCGCCCGCGUCCCGCCUCCCUCCGUCUGCCCGCCAGGCGGGGUAUUCGCGGUGGUGAGCUGGCAACGAGCCCAGGGUCUGACCCCUCGCGGCGAGCGGGUGUCCGUUCCGUCCAUCGCGCUUAGUCUUGGGCCCUGUCCCCGCUCCGACACGACCGGCUUGAUGCCUAACCACCCGCCCACCAGCGCAUACCGCCCUCCGGUACGGCGCUGCGUCCCGGUUAGGCCCGCUCCGUGGACCGAUGUUCUCACAGCGACGCCCGUUCGACGAUUGGAGGUGUGAUGGGGUGGGGAAAGGCUUAUGCCACCGUGUCGGGUUGGGCCGUCGGCCAUGAAAACCUCUAAACAUCAGCCACCAGCGCGGGCAGGAGGUCUUGUCCUGGUCAUCCUCCGUGCACCACCGGGUACCCAACGCGACACUCGCCUCCGGAGUCAGCAGGGGGGUAGAAUGUCUCCUGCCCCAGUUUGUUCCGCCCGCCUCACGGGAGGGACGCCUGGGGGCUUUGCCGUCUAACCCUGUAAAACCCGUCGUCUCCGAACUGUGAGCUUACCCUCCCCAAUACGAAAACAUAAAAACUUGACAACUCUUACUGGUAAAUCACUCGGCUCAUGCAUCGAUGAAGAACGCAGCAAGCUGCGAGAACUCAUGUGAAUUGCAGGACACAUUGAUCAUCGAAACUUCGAACGCACCUUGCGGCCCCGGGUUACUCCCGGGGCUACGGCUGUCUGAGGGUCGCUUUGACAUCAAUCGGAAAGGCCGUUCUACCUCGUGCCUUCUCGCGGGUGUGGCCGACGCUGGCAUCCGUUGCUCUUCCCACUAAGCGCAGACGGCUGAGGAGUCUCUCGCCACCUCGGUUGCGGUUGUGGCGCGGUAUCAGGCCUGCCGCCCUUCCGUAAUACCCAUGGGAUCCAGUGCUCCAGUUCCUCUCUUCCUCAUGCUCCCGUGGAACCAAAAACACCUGGGUGAAGGGUCGCCCGGACGGGCGCCGCAUGACUCGGGAGCGGCUGUCGGUGGACAGACCAUGUCUCUCCGCGCUGACCGUGUUACGUGUGGACCCGGUUCUGACGGGAACGCUGCGGCUGUGAGUACGAGGUUCGGGGGUCGUCCUCGGUGUUUGGGAGGUCGCGGCGCAGGGGGCACCCACCGGCUCGUCGCGGCGCACUCCACCUCCGGAGGCGUUACGACCCCCCCAGGCUAUCCCGGAACGCCUGAGCCCCCCCUUCAACUCGUGGGACGGGGG
RNAcentral lists this ribosomal RNA (1494 nucleotides) under Lutjanus erythropterus (crimson snapper). Its description in RNAcentral is "eukaryotic LSU rRNA". The stretch from base 836 to 989 matches the Rfam family "5.8S ribosomal RNA". Lineage: Eukaryota; Metazoa; Chordata; Actinopteri; Lutjaniformes; Lutjanidae. The record is from RNAcentral.